Daphnia pulicaria is the source of this 1226-nucleotide long non-coding RNA. RefSeq lists it as uncharacterized. The transcript is spliced from 8 exons. The record is from RefSeq and is a predicted model, not a curated record. Lineage: Eukaryota; Metazoa; Arthropoda; Branchiopoda; Diplostraca; Daphniidae.
UAGGAUUCAAAACUCAAUACCAGAUGUCGCUAGUGUCGCCUAUGUUUACAUCGUGAAACGAGGCGAAAAGGGCGAGACAAAUUGUAGCUAAUUAAUACUUAUAUUCCUGUGAUUUCAUAUGCCAAAUUGAGCUUCGUAUAUUAUAUGCAUACUGUCAGUCCAAGCUGGCAGUCAUUCGGCUCAUUCCAACAAGCUUAUUACUUGGCACUCAGUCACUUUGCAUUCAUCACAUCCUCAUGCUGUCAAAAGCCUAAAAUUCAUGUGUGUAUCCCACAUAUUGUGGAAUACAAAUGUGUGGAGACAAGGUAUUUCCCCAUUACUGUUGUGUUAUCACACCAACCACACCACGUCAAAUGCCUUACUAAAUUCAUCACCAUUCACCCAUAUGAUAAAGCAUCAGGAAAUCUCAACAUGAGGCGUAAUGCUGUUGGUUGCAGUGAUUUCCAUUUUUAUGGUUUUCUAUCAUGAAAAUUUAAGUGUGCUUCUUAGUAAAGGACUAUAGAGCACGUAAGAGAUCCCUAAUCCAAUGCUGACCUUUGUCUAUGACGGAAGAAUGACUUCCACCAACGUUCUGCUCCAUCCUUAUCUUCCCGACGUACGCUCAUCUAGCUUCACUGCUUUUGCUACUUGUCUUACUUCACCGACGAGUUGGAACACUUCAGUGGUCGCUACCCUUUCCUGUUACACACCUGCAGUUACUCACCACGGGAUUAUGCACAGGAAAAAAUGUGAAAGGUGCAUGAAGCCAGUACCGUCAACUAUUGUGUUAAAAAUCCUGGUAUCCUACAGAAUAUGUCAUCCAAAUGACAGAGUGGAUUCAUCACUAAUAUCGGCUGAAUCAUUCUAUGGGACUUGCCAGAUCACUAACCCAAGCAUGGACCAAUUUCUCAUUCCAUCUUCUAGAGAACCUUACAUAACCGAUUGGUGGUUUAGUGUGUAACUUUAUUUUUUAUUUACAGGUUUUAGGUUUCUAAUGUAGCAUGAUGAUGAUAGACUUUAUGAGAAUUCAUUUUGUUUGAAGAAAAAGGACUAUACAGUCGACAAGGUUCUUUGCUAACCCGUUGGCUGCUACCCUUGAAUCUGAGAAUCUCCCUGUUUACUUCUUUACACGGGUCCUCUUGAUUUAAGGGUAAUCCUUCGCUACUGAUCAUACACCCACUUGUGAAAACCGACGAGAGAACAUUGCUGUAAUCCAAGACUGAUACAUUGUGUAGUUGUUAGAUAAA